This is a non-coding RNA of Chlorocebus sabaeus (green monkey), 698 nucleotides long. Lineage: Eukaryota; Metazoa; Chordata; Mammalia; Primates; Cercopithecidae. The record is from RefSeq and is a predicted model, not a curated record.
AACCGAAAACCAAUUGAAUAAUGAAUGACAUGUUUAUCAGCCAAUUGAAGGGAGGCAAAGUCCCGCCUACUGGGUGGUUGAUGGACAGCGACAGGAAGCUGGGAGGGGCGGGGCUUAGUCGAAGAGUGCUUUUGUAUUGGUCGUGGUUGACCUUCCACCCACCUCUAACCCAGAGGAUGAGUGAUAGAUCUGCCCUGAAGCCAAUCAGAAGUCCUUAGGGUGAGGCCCACAAAUGCCCCAGAAAUAGCAUAUACAUUGCGCCCUAAGUCCAGUCUCGCCCAGGUGUGGCAGGAGCUUUUACCUGCUCUUCGGCAGUAGCCGGCUGCCACUCAACCCCAUGCCUGAGCUGUCCUCAUCUAAUCCAUCAGUACCAGACAGUGAACAUCUCUCCCCCAGGAUGCUGAGGAAGGGUGCUGGACGGAAGGAUGUGGAACUACAGCCUCUGCUCUCAAGAUGCUCAGAUCUGGGCAGGGAACAUCACACAUCUGGGCCUGUCAGGGGGUUGGGGGCUGGGGGAGGGAUAGCAUUAGGAGAAAUACCUAAUGUAAAUGACAAGUUGAUGGGUGCAGCAAACCAGCAUGGCACAUGUAUACCUAUGUAACAAACCUGCAUGUUGUGCACGUAUACUCUAGAACUUAAAGUAUAAUUAAAAAAAAAAAAAAAGCUUCAGAUCCCUCCUGGAGCCUCCUAUGAAACCA